RNAcentral lists this ribosomal RNA (567 nucleotides) under Scalptia textilis. Its description in RNAcentral is "partial 12S ribosomal RNA". It matches the Rfam family "Bacterial small subunit ribosomal RNA", at positions 518 to 1395 of the family's 1533-position model. Lineage: Eukaryota; Metazoa; Mollusca; Gastropoda; Neogastropoda; Cancellariidae. The record is from RNAcentral.
CGGUUAAACUAGAGGAUUUAGUUAUAUUUUUUAGGUAAAAAGGUGGUUAAACUUGAAGUUUGUAUGUAGCUAUAUGAACUACUGUAGAGGGGUGUAAUUCUUAUAUGGAUUAUAGGUAACUCAGAGAUGGCUAAUAUGUUGAAUCCACUAUAGCUUUGGGGGAAACUGGGAUUUGGUACCCCAUUAUUCUUAGCUGUAAAUAGGUGUUGAACUUACCGGAGUACUACGAAUAAUUAGUUUGAAACUCAAAGGGCUUGGCGGUGUUUUAGACCUUUUAGGGGAACCUGUUUCAUAAUCGAUGAUCCACGUUAUACCUUACCCUUUAUUGCUAUCAGCUUGUACACCGUUGUCAUCAGGUAACUUUUUAGAGUAGCAAAGUUAGCGAUAGAACUUGUCAUCAGUUUUUAUGUCAAAUCAAGGUGCAGCUAAUGAAAGGGGGAGGAUGGGUUACAAUUAAGAUUUAUAAGAUGGAUCAGGCAAUGAAAUUUGCUUGUGAAGGAGGACUUAAAAGUAAGGGUAUCUAUAAAAAUGUCCUGAAUGCGGCUCUGAAAUGUGUACAAAUUGCCC